AGUGUGUGGAAGAAAGUUUGGGAACUAGGCUGCCCGGCAAAAAUCAGAAUUUUCACUUGGAAAGCGUUGCAUGCUACCUUAGCAUGUGGUGUCAAUUUGGCCCAGAGACAUAUCAAGCUGUCACCGCAAUGCCCCUGUUGCAAGGAAGGGGCUGACACUACGGCUCAUGUGUUGUUUCAAUGCCCUGCCGCAAGGAACGUUUGGAAAGAGCUUGCUUUGGAGAAACUAAUUCAAAAGGCUUGUGCGGGAGAAAGUAUAUUUGGAUUCCUAUUGUAGAUGCCGCAACAUGAAAUGAUGGACCAGAAACAAGAAAAGAUGCAUAAAAUGAUUGCAAUGACCUGCUGGUACCUAUGGUGGGAAAGGAGAAAGCUACGCCAUGAAGAAAAGGUUCAAACUGCUAACCAGAUUGCUACUUCUGUUAGAUUCCUUACAGCUAACUACACUGCUGCGGCCGCCCCUAAAACUAAGAGGAAAACAGGAGGAUGGGAACUCCCGCCUAGAGGACAUGUGAAAUUGAAUGUGGAUGCCUCCUUUGACGGUGAUCUGCUUGUAGGGACGGCAGGUGCAAUCAUCAGAGAUGACAAAGGUAAUUUUAUCGACGCGGGUAAUUGGAAACUUGAUUUCUGUUAUGAUGUUCUUUCAGCCGAAGCAACUGCAUUGCGAUAUGGUUUAUCUUUAGCACAAACUGUAGGCUGUAAUAAGGUCAUCAUUAAAUCUGAUAAUUUGGAAGUGGUGAAUACAAUAAAUGAGGGAGGAAGAUCGGCAGGACCAGCAACAACAAUCUUCGACGACUGUUAUCACAUGGUAUGUGAUUUUCUUUAUACUUCCUUUGUGCACUGCCCCAAAGAGGCAAAUAUGGUUGCCCAUGAAUUGGCAAAUUUGGCAAAGGGGCCUUUAUGUAGUAGUUUCUUCGAUAAGACUCCUAGUGAACUUAUCCCGCUUUUACUCAGCGAUGUAACUCUUGUAACACCGUAA
This 975-nucleotide ribosomal RNA is filed under the name Triticum aestivum (bread wheat). RNAcentral describes it as "partial small subunit ribosomal RNA". Lineage: Eukaryota; Viridiplantae; Streptophyta; Magnoliopsida; Poales; Poaceae. The record is from RNAcentral.